This 507-nucleotide ribosomal RNA is filed under the name uncultured marine bacterium. RNAcentral's name for it is "bacterial SSU rRNA". It matches the Rfam family "Bacterial small subunit ribosomal RNA", at positions 35 to 526 of the family's 1533-position model. The record is from RNAcentral.
GCUGGCGGCGUGCCUAAUACAUGCAAGUCGAGCGAAUCWUUGGGAGCUUGCUCCCAUUGGUUAGCGGCGGACGGGUGAGUAACACGUGGGCAACCUGCCUGUAAGACUGGGAUAACUUCGGGAAACCGGAGCUAAUACCGGAUAAUUCUNNNCCUCUCAUGAGGAAAAGCUGAAAGUCGGUUUCGGCUGUCACUUACAGAUGGGCCCGCGGCGCAUUAGCUAGUUGGUGAGGUAACGGCUCACCAAGGCGACGAUGCGUAGCCGACCUGAGAGGGUGAUCGGCCACACUGGGACUGAGACACGGCCCAGACUCCUACGGGAGGCAGCAGUAGGGAAUCUUCCACAAUGGACGAAAGUCUGAUGGAGCAACGCCGCGUGAGCGAUGAAGGCCUUCGGGUCGUAAAGCUCUGUUGUUGGGAAGAACAAGUACCGGAGUAACUGCCGGUACCUUGACGGUACCUAACCAGAAAGCCACGGCUAACUACGUGCCAGCAGCCGCGGUAAUAC